UAAGGGCGCACGGUGGAUGCCUUGGCACUAGAAGCCGAUGAAGGACGUUACUAACGACGAUAUGCUUUGGGGAGCUGUAAGUAAGCUUUGAUCCAGAGAUUUCCGAAUGGGGAAACCCAGCAUGAGUUAUGUCAUGUUAUCGAUAUGUGAAUACAUAGCAUAUCAGAAGGCACACCCGGAGAACUGAAACAUCUUAGUACCCGGAGGAAGAGAAAGAAAAUUCGAUUCCCUUAGUAGCGGCGAGCGAAACGGGAAGAGCCCAAACCAACAAGCUUGCUUGUUGGGGUUGUAGGACACUCUAUACGGAGUUACAAAGGACGACAUUAGACGAAUCAUCUGGAAAGAUGAAUCAAAGAAGGUAAUAAUCCUGUAGUCGAAAAUGUUGUCUCUCUUGAGUGGAUCCUGAGUACGACGGAGCACGUGAAAUUCCGUCGGAAUCUGGGAGGACCAUCUCCUAAGGCUAAAUACUCUCUAGUGACCGAUAGUGAACCAGUACCGUGAGGGAAAGGUGAAAAGCACCCCGGAAGGGGAGUGAAAUAGAACCUGAAACCGUGUGCUUACAAGUAGUCAGAGCCCGUUAAUGGGUGAUGGCGUGCCUUUUGUAGAAUGAACCGGCGAGUUACGAUUUGAUGCAAGGUUAAGCAGUAAAUGUGGAGCCGUAGCGAAAGCGAGUCUGAAUAGGGCGUUUAGUAUUUGGUCGUAGACCCGAAACCAGGUGAUCUACCCUUGGUCAGGUUGAAGUUCAGGUA
RNAcentral lists this ribosomal RNA (749 nucleotides) under Staphylococcus aureus. RNAcentral describes it as "partial 23S ribosomal RNA". It matches the Rfam family "Bacterial large subunit ribosomal RNA", at positions 12 to 758 of the family's 2925-position model. Lineage: Bacteria; Bacillati; Bacillota; Bacilli; Caryophanales; Staphylococcaceae. The record is from RNAcentral.